RNAcentral lists this ribosomal RNA (253 nucleotides) under uncultured bacterium. RNAcentral's name for it is "partial 16S ribosomal RNA". It matches the Rfam family "Bacterial small subunit ribosomal RNA", at positions 524 to 776 of the family's 1533-position model. The record is from RNAcentral.
UCCGUAGGGUGCGAUCGUUAAUCGGAAUUACUGGGCGUAAAGCGUGCGCAGGCGGCUCAUUAAGACAGGCGUGAAAUCCCCGGGCUUAACCUGGGAACUGCGCUUGUGACUGGUGGGCUGGAGUGUGUCAGAGGGAGGUGGAAUUCCACGUGUAGCAGUGAAAUGCGUAGAGAUGUGGAGGAACACCGAUGGCGAAGGCAGCCUCCUGGGACAACACUGACGCUCAUGCACGAAAGCGUGGGGAGAAAACAGG